AAAGGCCCACCAAGGCGACGAUCGGUAGCCGGACUGAGAGGUUGAUCGGCCACAUUGGGACUGAGACACGGCCCAGACUCCUACGGGAGGCAGCAGUGGGGGAUAUUGCACAAUGGGGGAAACCCUGAUGCAGCAACGCCGCGUGAAGGAAGAAGGUCUUCGGAUUGUAAACUUCUGUCCUCAGGGAAGAUAAUGACGGUACCUGAGGAGGAAGCUCCGGCUAACUAC
RNAcentral lists this ribosomal RNA (228 nucleotides) under uncultured bacterium. Its description in RNAcentral is "partial 16S ribosomal RNA". It matches the Rfam family "Bacterial small subunit ribosomal RNA", at positions 259 to 504 of the family's 1533-position model. The record is from RNAcentral.